Molecule: ribosomal RNA, 235 nt
Filed under: uncultured bacterium
Lineage: Bacteria
Description: partial 16S ribosomal RNA
Rfam family: Bacterial small subunit ribosomal RNA
Source: RNAcentral
GACGAACGCUGGCGGCGUGCUUGACACAUGCAAGUCGAGCGGUAAGGCCCUUUCGGGGGUACGACGAGCGGCGAACGGGUGAGUAACACGUGGGUGACCUGCCCUCAGCUCUGGGAUAAGCCUGGGAAACCGGGUCUAAUACCGGAUAUGACUCCAUGACGCAUGUUGUGGGGUGGAAAGCCUUGUGCGGCUGAGGAUGGGCCCGCGGCCUAUCAGCUUGUUGGUGGGGUGANGG